This 253-nucleotide ribosomal RNA is filed under the name uncultured prokaryote. Its description in RNAcentral is "partial 16S ribosomal RNA". It matches the Rfam family "Bacterial small subunit ribosomal RNA", at positions 524 to 776 of the family's 1533-position model. The record is from RNAcentral.
UACGUAGGGGGCAAGCGUUGUCCGGAUUUAUUGGGCGUAAAGAGCGUGUAGGCGGCUGGGUAGGUCCGUUGUGAAAACUCGAGGCUCAACCUCGAGACGCCGAUGGAAACCCUCCAGCUAGAGUCCGGAAGAGGAGAGUGGAAUUCCUGGUGUAGCGGUGAAAUGCGCAGAUAUCGGGAGGAACACCGGUGGCGAAGGCGGUUCUCUGGGCCUUACCUGACGCUGAGGAGCGAAAGCGUGGGGAGCGAACAGG